AUGGCUGUCGUCAGCUCGUGUCGUAAGAUGUUGGGUUAAGUCCCGCAACGAGCGCAACCCCUAUCCCAUGUUGCCAGCGGGUAAUGCCGGGGACUCGUAGGAGACUGCCGGUGCCAAACCGGAGGAAGGUGGGGAUGACGUCAAGUCAUCAUGCCCCUUACGUCCAGGGCUGCACACAUGCUACAAUGGCCGGUACAAAGGGUUGCUACUUCGCGAGGAGACGCCAAUCCCAGAAAGCCGGUCUCAGUUCGGAUCGCAGUCUGCAACUCGACUGCGUGAAGUCGGAGUCGCUAGUAAUCGCAGAUCAGCAUUGCUGCGGUGAAUACGUUCCCGGGCCUUGUACACACCGCCCGUCACACCACGAAAGUUGGUAACACCCGAAGCCGGUGGCCCAACCCUCUGGGAGGGAGCCGUCGAAGGUGGGAUCAGCGAUUGGGGUGAAGUCGUAACAAGGUAGCCGUACCGGAAGGUGCGGCUGGAUCACCUCCUUUCUAAGGAGCUCACUGCCUGGAAUUAUCACAAUUCCAGGAACUCCUACGUCGAUCACUGGUCAGCUGGCAUUCGGCCAAUUCCGACCCCGCUCAGCCUCGUGCUGAACGGCACCACCGGGACCCGGAUUGCCGGCGUGCGCGUCACUGUUCCGUUUUGAGGGAGCGGUCGCUCGGGCUUCUCGCCCGGAGGCUGCUACCUCGAGGCCAGAUCCGCCCCCGCCGCCCCGCAUUGCGGGGCUGGCGCGCGGACGACUUCAACGCCCCUUGAGAACCGCAGAGCGAGCACGAGCAUCUAGCAAACAGUGCAAGACGAAAAUCCCAAGCUAUAAAGAGCCAACGGUGGAUGCCUUGGCGCCAGAUGCCGAUGAAGGACGUGGGUGGCUGCGAAAAGCCACGGUGAGCUGCCGACCAAGCAUUGACCCGUGGAUCUCCGAAUGGGGAAACCCGG
RNAcentral lists this small RNA (939 nucleotides) under uncultured Acidimicrobiales bacterium. Its description in RNAcentral is "bacterial SSU rRNA". The stretch from base 1 to 491 matches the Rfam family "Bacterial small subunit ribosomal RNA", at positions 1045 to 1533 of the family's 1533-position model. The record is from RNAcentral. Lineage: Bacteria; Bacillati; Actinomycetota; Acidimicrobiia; Acidimicrobiales.